UCCCGCCGUGCAGCGCCGUUCACGUCGCUUA
This 31-nucleotide small RNA is filed under the name Bombyx mori (domestic silkworm). Its description in RNAcentral is "ovarian small RNA-27297". Lineage: Eukaryota; Metazoa; Arthropoda; Insecta; Lepidoptera; Bombycidae. The record is from RNAcentral.